ACGCUGGCGCAGGCUAACACCUGCAAGUCUGAACUGGUAACAGGAAGCAGACUUGCUGCUUCGCUGACGAGUGGCUGGACGUGGGUGAGUAAUGUCUGGGAAGACUGCCUGAUGGGGGGGGAUAACUACUGGAAACGGUAGCUUAAUACCGCAUAACAGUCGGCAAGACCAAAGAGGGGGACCUUCUGGGCCUCACACCAUCGAAGAUGUGCCCAGAUGUGGAUUAGCUUGUUGGUGGAGGUAACGGCUCACCAAGGCGACGAUCCCGUAGCUGGUCUGAGAGGAUGACCAGCCAGCACUGGCAACUGAGACACUGUCCAGACUCCAUACAGGGAGGCAGCAGUGGGGAAUAUUGCACAAUGGGCUGCAAGCCUGAUGCACGCCAUGCCGCGUGUAUGAAGAAGGAGCCUUCGGGUUGUAAAGUACUUUCAGACAGGGGAGGAAAGGGAGUAAAGUUAAUACCCUUUGCUGCAGAAGAAGCACCGGCUAACUCCGUGCCAGCAGCCGCGGUAAUACGGAGGGUGCAAGCGUUAAUCGGAAUUACUGGGCGUAAAGCGCACGCAGGCGGUUUGUCAAGUCAGAUGUGAAAUCCCCGGGCUC
RNAcentral lists this ribosomal RNA (600 nucleotides) under uncultured bacterium. Its description in RNAcentral is "bacterial SSU rRNA". It matches the Rfam family "Bacterial small subunit ribosomal RNA", at positions 33 to 610 of the family's 1533-position model. The record is from RNAcentral.